RNAcentral lists this long non-coding RNA (221 nucleotides) under Eutrema salsugineum. RNAcentral describes it as "long non-coding RNA (ESAL_LNC000496)". The record is from RNAcentral. Lineage: Eukaryota; Viridiplantae; Streptophyta; Magnoliopsida; Brassicales; Brassicaceae.
UUUUCCCUUUCUUGAUUGUCUCUCUUCUUAUCUUCUAUUUCUUGUUGUUCUUCAUUUCUUCUAGCCGGAGUUUCUUCUCUACUCGUCAUACAUCACGCAAGUAGGACACUCCUUGUUUUCAAGUGAAGUUUAGCAAAGAGCUGGUGUCAUCUUGUCUGAUAGUGAAGGAAAAAAAGAUCCAUCUUCUGAUAAAUGAUUUGUGUGCUUCCUUGCUUUUUUUU